CCUACGCGUGACAGCAGUGAGGAAUAUUGGUCAAUGGACGGAAGUCUGAACCAGCCAAGUAGCGUGAAGGAAGACUGCCCUAUGAGUUGUAAACUUCUUUUGUAUGAGAAUAAAGUUGAAUACGUGUAUUCAUCUGAAUGUACCGUAUGAAUAAGGAUCGGCUAACUCCGUGCCAGCAGCCGCGGUAAUACGGAGGAUCCGAGCGUUAUCCUGAUUUAUUGGGUUUAAAGGGAGCGUAGGCGGAUUGUUAAGUCAGUGGUGAAAGUUCCGGGCUUAACCCGAGAAUUGCCGUUGAUACUGGCGAUCUAGAGUGCAGUAGCGGUAGGCGGAAUGCGUGGUGUAGCGGUGAAAUGCUUAGAUAUCACGCAGAACACCGAUUGCGAAGGCAGCUUAC
Molecule: ribosomal RNA, 394 nt
Filed under: uncultured bacterium
Lineage: Bacteria
Description: partial 16S ribosomal RNA
Rfam family: Bacterial small subunit ribosomal RNA
Source: RNAcentral